This is a long non-coding RNA of Cyprinus carpio carpio, 710 nucleotides long. The record is from Ensembl. Lineage: Eukaryota; Metazoa; Chordata; Actinopteri; Cypriniformes; Cyprinidae.
UCAAGAUAAAGCAACGCUGAUGAUCGCAUCGCUUAAACUUGUUGAUUAAUAUCAUCCUUUACAGGUCAGUGGUCACGCCUCUUUAUUUCACUCGGCACGGCGGCAGUCGCUGGAGCCUGCAGGACGCUUGACAGCUCAACAACUUUAUCCUCAGAUGAACUUAUCCAAACAUGACAGAAGGUGGUGUAACUAUGACAGAAGCUGAAGCACAGAAAUUCAGAGGGUGAACACAACACACCAUACCCAAUUGUCCAGGUGACCCAAGAAGACUGGAAGUCCACAUUUGAGGGACGAAGCUCCUGUUCCCUGAAGGUAGACAGGGUCGAGGUGUGUGAAGGCAUGAAGGUAGAGGAAGCCAUGAUCUUCUCGUUUUAUUCAUAUUUUGUUUUCAAUCUUGAAUACCAACCCAAAAACAAGAACACUCUGACCUUCCUCCAGCGAUGUAUUGCGAAAAUGCCAUCCAAGAUAUCCAUGUCUUUCUUUCCUCAGUGGGAGAGAAAUUAUGUUUUUUGAGGAAAACAUUUCUGGAUUUUUCUUCUAACAAUGGAGUUCAUUGGUUACCAUCGUUUUUAAGUCCAAAUCAAUGCAGUUUCAAAAGUCUUUGAAGUGUUUAAACGGGCUGUACGCGAUCACAGCUGAAGAAGAGGUUGUCAUCUAGCGAAACGAUAGGUCGUUUUCAAAAAAAAUUAUAAUUUAUACUUUUUACCUUC